GUUUUUCCUGUCCCUUCAGUUUCGGUUGAAUCUCAUGGUGGUAGCAAAUGGUAGAGUCUCUUAAAGAAUUUUUUUUGGUAAAAGUUCCAGACAGGUCAGGUCAGUAACCACUACAUGAAUAGCGGUACACUAAAGACAACCAUGGAAACAGCACGCAUCAAGAAACAGGAUCAGCUUUAUAAAAAUUUUCAUACUUUUUAUUUGCAUCAGUGUUCACCAGAUUGAUUCAUUCCCAAGGGCACAAGAAAAAGAACAAAAAAUUUUCCAUCCGAUUCAGCCCAUCCGUGAUGGGGAGAGAGGCUUGCAUCUGUAAUUAUUUAUCCAGGGCACGUUCGCUUGUUGCCGGUGUACAAAACACACCUCACACUUGUCCAUGUACACACAGUAAUACGAGAAAAAAAAACAAGCCUAAAGCAA
Molecule: long non-coding RNA, 417 nt
Organism: Rhipicephalus sanguineus (brown dog tick)
Lineage: Eukaryota; Metazoa; Arthropoda; Arachnida; Ixodida; Ixodidae
Exons: 2
Source: RefSeq, a predicted model, not a curated record